This is a long non-coding RNA of Passer domesticus (house sparrow), 292 nucleotides long. RefSeq lists it as uncharacterized. The record is from RefSeq and is a predicted model, not a curated record. The transcript is spliced from 3 exons. Lineage: Eukaryota; Metazoa; Chordata; Aves; Passeriformes; Passeridae.
GGUACUCCAACAGGGAAAGUCCAAGAUACAACAGAUAAGAUGUCCCUGCAACCAUCCAAACAGAUGAGGAAAGAGCUGAAGGAACCCCUGCAGACAAGAGAAGAGAUGGACAUAGAGCUUCAGUGGAAGGUGGCAAUUCCUGAAGGAAGCACUCCAUCUUCAAUGCGAGCCCCUGCUGCAGGAAGGAAGGCGAUGCCAGACACGGGCACAGGCACAGCAGACUGGGAUGCUGGGACGGUUCCUCCAUUAGCCUGGCGCUCUGAAGUUGUGAAGCCCUCUGAGCAUUCUGCAG